AAAUCGUGUAUUAAUUAACGAAAUUCCAAAAACAACCAUUAGUGUAUUUCGAUUUCAAACAGUAUAACGAUAGAUAGGAGUAUACUAAUAAGGAUCAGCGAAAAAUAUGAUUUUUCAUAUAAAAUUGCGCCUUAUAUUCGGUGCAACUAUUAUUAGCAUGAUAUCCUUACUCCUUGUCAACGAAAGUAAUUGUCAUAUGGAAGAACUGAUAGAUGAUGUGCCAAGGAUCGACAACCUCACAUGCACCUGUGAGAGGGUCUAUGUACCUGUAUGUGCCACUGACAAUAGAACAUACAUCAACGAAUGUUACUUCAACUGUUUGAAUAAGUAUAGAAUAGUAUUGGACUCUGAGGAGAGGAAAGCGAUGGGCACAAAUCCAAUAGACCUUAAUAAAUAUAACAUGAGUAUCAUGUGGCGUGGACCAUGCGUGUCUACCAGAUUUGACAAGGUCAUCGAUUUGGAAUACAUCGCUCAUUAUGACUACCACCACUUUCCGUGGUCGUAGACGAUUCACUACUUGACUAUAAAAUAAAAUGCAAUAAAGUUGGCAUAAUUUAUCAA
Molecule: long non-coding RNA, 561 nt
Organism: Plodia interpunctella (Indianmeal moth)
Lineage: Eukaryota; Metazoa; Arthropoda; Insecta; Lepidoptera; Pyralidae
Exons: 3
Source: RefSeq, a predicted model, not a curated record